CCUACGGGAGGCAGCAGUGGGGAAUAUUGCACAAUGGGGGGAACCCUGAUGCAGCGACGCCGCGUGGGUGAGGAAGUACUUCGGUAUGUAAAGCCCUAUCAGCAGGGAAGAAAAUGACGGUACCUGACUAAGAAGCCCCGGCUAACUACGUGCCAGCAGCCGCGGUAAUACGUAGGGGGCAAGCGUUAUCCGGAUUUACUGGGUGUAAAGGGAGCGUAGACGGCGUGCCAAGUCUGAUGUGAAAGGCCGGGGCUCAACCCCGGGACUGCAUUGGAAACUGGCAUGCUGGAGUGCAGGAGGGGCAAGCGGAAUGCCUAGUGUAGCGGUGAAAUGCGUAGAUAUUAGGAGGAACACCGGUGGCGAAGGCGGCUUGCUGGACGGUAACUGACGUUGAGGCUCGAAAGCGUGGGGAGCAAACAGGAUUAGAUACCCGGGUAGUC
Molecule: ribosomal RNA, 440 nt
Filed under: uncultured bacterium
Lineage: Bacteria
Description: partial 16S ribosomal RNA
Rfam family: Bacterial small subunit ribosomal RNA
Source: RNAcentral